Molecule: long non-coding RNA, 168 nt
Organism: Triticum dicoccoides
Lineage: Eukaryota; Viridiplantae; Streptophyta; Magnoliopsida; Poales; Poaceae
Exons: 3
Source: RefSeq, a predicted model, not a curated record
CCGCAUCUGAGUCCCAGCCCACCCACCCCUCGCCCCUCGCUUUGAUCCCAAGAGGGUGUUUGGUUGGACGGUAAACUUGCUGCACAACUGGACCUCGUUACAUGCAGUGAAACAAAUUACCACAUCACUGUUUACGGGUCUCCUUUGACUGCACAAGCUGAAUAUCAC